GAUGAACGCUGGCGGCGUGCCUAAUACAUGCAAGUCGAGCGAACAGAUGAGGAGCUUGCUCCCCUGACGUUAGCGGCGGACGGGUGAGUAACACGUGGAUAACCUACCUAUAAGACUGGGAUAACUUCGGGAAACCGGAGCUAAUACCGGAUCAUAUAUUGUACCGCAUGGUUCAAUAGUGAAAGACGGUUUUGCUGUCACUUAUAGAUGGAUCCGCGUCGCAUUAGCUAGUUGGUAAGGUAACGGCUUACCAAGGCAACGAUGCGUAGCCGACCUGAGAGGGUGAUCGGCCACACUGGAACUGAGACACGGUCCAGACUCCUACGGGAGGCAGCAGUAGGGAAUCUUCCGCAAUGGGCGAAAGCCUGACGGAGCAACGCCGCGUGAGUGAUGAAGGUCUUCGGAUCGUAAAACUCUGUUAUUAGGGAAGAACAAAUGUGUAAGUAACUAUGCACGUCUUGACGGUACCUAAUCAGAAAGCCACGGCUAACUACGUG
This 497-nucleotide ribosomal RNA is filed under the name uncultured bacterium. RNAcentral describes it as "partial 16S ribosomal RNA". It matches the Rfam family "Bacterial small subunit ribosomal RNA", at positions 28 to 507 of the family's 1533-position model. The record is from RNAcentral.